Molecule: unclassified non-coding RNA, 345 nt
Filed under: uncultured bacterium
Lineage: Bacteria
Description: contains 16S-23S intergenic spacer region
Rfam family: 5.8S ribosomal RNA (bases 1-125)
Source: RNAcentral
GCAUCGAUGAAGAACGCAGCGAAAUGCGAUAAGUAAUGCGAAUUGCAGAAUUCAGUGAGUCAUCGAAUCUUUGAACGCAUAUUGCGCCCUUUGGUAUUCCGAAGGGCAUGCCUGUUCGAGCGUCAUUAUCAAAGUAUCAAGCUUGGCUUGUUGUUGGGCCCUUUAUCACCUGGUGAUAGGUCCAAAAGAGAAUGAGCGGUGUUGUAAGGACCCUGUAUGCAAUGAGCUUCUAACAGCAUGCAUCGAGUGGUUGUACAGCCCGGUCUAUCCCCCUAUUUCUCAAGGUUGACCUCGGAUCAGGUAGGAAUACCCGCUGAACUUAAGCAUAUCAAUAAGCGGAGGAUG